Molecule: non-coding RNA, 648 nt
Organism: Chinchilla lanigera (long-tailed chinchilla)
Lineage: Eukaryota; Metazoa; Chordata; Mammalia; Rodentia; Chinchillidae
Source: the annotation of a RefSeq genome assembly
UUCACUAGUGUCUCUCCUCAGUUUCUGUGCCUUCACCCUCAACAAAGUGUAAUUCCACGGCAGCCUGGACUUUGCUCAGCCUUCGUGUGUAUCACCAUGCCUAUGCACAUACUCCUGAGAAUCCCUUUGUUUAUGGUUGCAAGGAAGAGAAGAUGAUGAAUAGGCAAGUCAGCUUUUGGGGCCAACCUCUGCAGAAUAAGGAUGGAGAAUCAUCUGAAGAUCUCCUUGGUGGCUUUGUGGCUUUAUUUUUAUUGUGGGACUGGCAAAAUCCCAGUGGAGGAGAGUCCUACAUCCCUGGCUGUCCUGGAAGGAAAGAACUUCACUCUUCAAUGUGACUACACUGUGAGCCCCUUUAACAACUUAAGGUGGUACAGACAGGACACAGGGAGAGGUCCUGUUUUGCUGACAGUCAUAAACUCUCCUGAGAACAAAACUUUGAGUGGAAGGUACACAGUGACUCUGGAUGAAAUUGCCAAGCACAAUUCCCUGCACAUCACAGCCUCCCAGCUCAGCGACUCUGCCUCCUACAUCUGUGUGGUGGGUGCACCAUCCUCCCCAGGCACCUGCAGCCAGUACAAAAACCUACCUAGGAAAUUGUCAGCAAGUCAGGAGGUUGAACAGGGGCAUUACUUAUUAUGUUGCAUAUGA